This 233-nucleotide long non-coding RNA is filed under the name Elaeis guineensis (African oil palm). Its description in RNAcentral is "long non-coding RNA (EGUI_LNC057375)". The record is from RNAcentral. Lineage: Eukaryota; Viridiplantae; Streptophyta; Magnoliopsida; Arecales; Arecaceae.
GGCAGAUGAGUCUUGGGUCUGUAGUGUAGAGACACUAGGGUGAAGAUACAGGUGAUUUUUAGAGAAUAACGUACACUGAGCAUGACCAACACGAGAACCACAUAGAUGUCUACUAUCUCGUCAGUGGUCUUCUCGAUGCUGCAGUGGUAUUAGUGGUCCUUUGACCUACGGUGAUAUUGGCUAUUUGCAGUGAGGCUAUUGAGUUUGACUGCAUAUUUUCUUGAUCCCUAGCC